This 494-nucleotide ribosomal RNA is filed under the name uncultured bacterium. Its description in RNAcentral is "SSU rRNA". It matches the Rfam family "Bacterial small subunit ribosomal RNA", at positions 26 to 523 of the family's 1533-position model. The record is from RNAcentral.
AGAGCGAACGCUGGCGGCGUGCUUAACACAUGCAAGUCGAGUGCGCGGUUGUAGCAAUACAACUGGCGCACGGCGCACGGGUGAGUAACACGUGGGCAACCUGCCCUCCAAUGGGGGAUACCCCCGCGAAAGCGGGGCUAAUACCGCAUGACAUUCCGGAGACUUCGGUCACCGGACUUAAAGGCCGUAAGGUCGUUGGAGGAGGGGCCCGCGCCCGAUUAGCUAGUUGGUGAGGUAACGGCUCACCAAGGCUAUGAUCGGUAGCCGGUCUGAGAGGAUGGCCGGCCACACUGGAACUGAGACACGGUCCAGACUCCUACGGGAGGCAGCAGUGGGGAAUCUUGCGCAAUGGGCGAAAGCCUGACGCAGCGACGCCGCGUGGGGGAUGAAGCUUCUCGGAGUGUAACCCCUUUCGACCCGGACGAAACGCCCGUAAGGGCUUGACGGUACGGGUAUAAGAAGCCCGGCUAACUACGUGCCAGCAGCCGCGGUAA